AUUGAACGCUGGCGGCAGGCCUAACACAUGCAAGUCGAGCGGAUGAAGGGAGCUUGCUCCUGGAUUCAGCGGCGGACGGGUGAGUAAUGCCUAGGAAUCUGCCUGGUAGUGGGGGAUAACGUCCGGAAACGGGCGCUAAUACCGCAUACGUCCUGAGGGAGAAAGUGGGGGAUCUUCGGACCUCACGCUAUCAGAUGAGCCUAGGUCGGAUUAGCUAGUUGGUGGGGUAAAGGCCUACCAAGGCGACGAUCCGUAACUGGUCUGAGAGGAUGAUCAGUCACACUGGAGCUGAGACACGGUCCAGACUCCUACGGGAGGCAGCAGUGGGGAAUAUUGGACAAUGGGCGAAAGCCUGAUCCAGCCAUGCCGCGUGUGUGGAGAAGGUCUUCGGAUUGUAAAGCACUUUAAGUUGGGAGGAAGGGCAGUAAGUUAAUACCUUGCUGUUUUGACGUUACCAACAGAAUAAGCACCGGCUAACUUCGUG
RNAcentral lists this ribosomal RNA (484 nucleotides) under uncultured bacterium. Its description in RNAcentral is "partial 16S ribosomal RNA". It matches the Rfam family "Bacterial small subunit ribosomal RNA", at positions 30 to 507 of the family's 1533-position model. The record is from RNAcentral.